AGAUGCGCAAACGCCCGAGUUUUCCCUGGUGCGCGGGUUCCGCCUUUGCAGUGCCCUCCACCCUUCCUGGUGUCUGACCCGCCUCCUUCCCAGGCCUUUUGUUCCUGUCCGGGAAAGCCGGCGUCCUGCCGCGCGAUGCACCUGCUCGGACUUCUUCCCAGAAGGGCCUGGGCUUCGCUGCUCAGCCAGCUCCUGCGACCGCCCUGGGCUUCGUGCACCGGGGCGGUCCGUUGCCAAAGCCAGGGUGAAGAGUCUUUGCAGGUUGGUGGUCAACAGGGUCAGAGAUGCCACAGGUCUGGCCAGUGUCCAGAGGAGCCACAUCUCACAUUCAUUCUUCUGCCAGGUUGCAGAGGCAGUGUUAACAUCCCAACUGAAAGCACAUCAAGAGAAACCAAAUUUUAUUAUCAAGACCCCAAAGGUAAUACUUUUUGCCUACCCUAUCCCAUUAGAGUGCCUUGGAGGACUGACCUCUGCCUUGCAUGUUUCUCUGACCCCUUUUAAUGUCCUUUACAGUAAAUUUUAAAAAUAUAUACUAUUCUUGAGAUACUAGGUGGGG
RNAcentral lists this small RNA (556 nucleotides) under Pongo abelii (Sumatran orangutan). RNAcentral's name for it is "retained intron". Lineage: Eukaryota; Metazoa; Chordata; Mammalia; Primates; Hominidae. The record is from RNAcentral.